AAUUCAUGCUCCCAUGUAUGAAAACAUGGCUUUUUCA
RNAcentral lists this transfer RNA (37 nucleotides) under Prionodon linsang (banded linsang). RNAcentral describes it as "partial tRNA-Ser". The record is from RNAcentral. Lineage: Eukaryota; Metazoa; Chordata; Mammalia; Carnivora; Viverridae.